UGUAACUCAGUGGUAGAGCAUCUGCCUGGCAUGUGGAAGGCCCUGGGUUCAAUCCCCAGCA
This 61-nucleotide transfer RNA is filed under the name Urocitellus parryii (Arctic ground squirrel). Its description in RNAcentral is "Spermophilus parryii (Arctic ground squirrel) tRNA". It matches the Rfam family "tRNA", at positions 6 to 65 of the family's 71-position model. Rfam says of the family: Transfer RNA (tRNA) molecules are approximately 80 nucleotides in length. Their secondary structure includes four short double-helical elements and three loops (D, anti-codon, and T loops). Lineage: Eukaryota; Metazoa; Chordata; Mammalia; Rodentia; Sciuridae. The record is from Rfam by way of RNAcentral. RNAcentral also lists the same sequence under 2 other names.